RNAcentral lists this ribosomal RNA (587 nucleotides) under uncultured bacterium. RNAcentral's name for it is "bacterial SSU rRNA". It matches the Rfam family "Bacterial small subunit ribosomal RNA", at positions 338 to 916 of the family's 1533-position model. The record is from RNAcentral.
CCUACGGGAGGCAGCAGUGGGGAAUCUUGCGCAAUGCGCGAAAGCGUGACGCAGCAACGCCGCGUGAGGGGAGACGGCCUUCGGGUUGUAAACCUCUUUCAGUUGGGACGAAGCCACGGCGGUUAAUACCCGUCUGUGGUGACGGUACCUUCAGAAGAAGCCCCGGCUAACUACGUGCCAGCAGCCGCGGUAAUACGUAGGGGGCAAGCGUUGUCCGGAAUCAUUGGGCGUAAAGCGCGUGUAGGCGGCUUGGUAAGUCCGCUCUGAAAGCCCGGGGCUCAACCCCGGGAGGCGGGUGGAUACUGUCAAGCUCGAGUCCGGAAGAGGCGAGUGGAAUUCCUGGUGUAGCGGUGAAAUGCGCAGAUAUCAGGAGGAACACCAAUGGCGAAGGCAGCUCGCUGGGACGUGACUGACGCUGAGACGCGAAAGCGUGGGGAGCAAACAGGAUUAGAUACCCUGGUAGUCCACGCCGUAAACGAUGGGCACUAGGUGUGGGAGGUGUCGACUCCUCCCGUGCCGAAGCUAACGCAUUAAGUGCCCCGCCUGGGGAGUACGGCCGCAAGGCUAAAACNCAAAGGAAUUGACGG